UACGGAGGGUGCAAGCGUUGUCCGGAUUUAUUGGGUUUAAAGGGUGCGUAGGUGGUUUUCUAAGUCUGGCUUGAAAGCAAGCGGCUUAACCGUUUGAUGUGGCUGGAAACUGGAGGACUUGAAUGGGUUGGCGGUAGCCGGAAUGGGUCAUGUAGCGGUGAAAUGCAUAGAUAUGACCCGGAACACCGAUUGCGAAGGCAGGCUACUACGACUUGAUUGACACUGAGGCACGAGAGCAUGGGUAGCGAACAGG
This 253-nucleotide ribosomal RNA is filed under the name uncultured bacterium. RNAcentral's name for it is "partial 16S ribosomal RNA". It matches the Rfam family "Bacterial small subunit ribosomal RNA", at positions 524 to 776 of the family's 1533-position model. The record is from RNAcentral.